CUCUUUGUCUCAGCUGAUGGCUUCUCAUCUUUUUGUUCUUCAAUCAAAGGUUCUUUGUCCAUUUUCUCCACACCUUCAAUUUUAACAUCUUGCCCUCCAAGCGACCGCUCAUCCUCCCCUUCCAAGUAUUCACCAACAUCUUCUUCAUACCCCUUCUCUUUAAAACUUUCAUCUUUGUAAAGUUUUUCUUCCCUGAGCUCUUCAUGCACCUCUACGUGUUGCUCUUUCUUUCCAUCCUCCCCAAAUUCAGUUCUCAUUUCAACUUCUUUUGGAUCAGCUAUUUGCUUUUCCAACUCUUCUUCCGGAAGAAAUUCUCCACCAAACUCUGACUCUUCUUUUUCUGCUUUAUCCAAAAGCCCAGUUUCAAUCUCCAACUCCGGAGAUGAUGCUGGCAUUGGCAAGAAUCUUAUUCAUGAGCUUCUCAGUGCAGGCAUAACUAGCGACAACAACCCCAGCAGGGACUGAAACGGCGAAUCCAACAGCAGACACAACCACAAGGGGAGGAAGAACCACCGGUGCAGACGAGAUCACAACACCUGUAAUCAGAAUCGUUUUCCCUAAUUGCAGUCCUUUGCUCAAAAUCCAACUGGCCUUACUUUACAUUCUUCUUCUCCUGGAGAAGUACAGUAUCCUUUACCUCCCCCUCCUCUCCAGAAUCAUCCAUCCUACAUAUUUACCAUACUAACAUAUAUUAAACGUAACUUAAACAAAAUUCUUAACUUAAACGUAGGUACCUAAAUUUGUAAAAAUAUUAAUUAAGUACUUAUUCAGAGAAGAUAACUUUAAUACAACAAGGGUCUUCCAGAGAAGGGAAAAGAUUUACUAUUUCAACUCAUUCAUGCAGAAAUCCUAAACAAUGAGAAAGCAUCAAAGAAACAGAGAGACUGCAGAGAAGAAGAGCUAGCCCUUUUAUUGUUCUCAAGAACCACAAACAAAUGGAUGCAAGGAAGCGUCCAAAGCCAUUUGUUACGUUUAAAAAGCAAUGCUCUUUUUAUCAAUUGACAAAAAACCAAGCAAAAGAAUUUCUGGAAAAUAUUAAAAUCUAGCUGGAUGAACGAAACGAAGAAAAAGAACAAAACCAAUGAAAGGGCUCCAUUGCAAACGAAAAACUAACCAGAAAAGGCAUAAAGAAACAAUGAAACAGGGCGCAAAAAAAAAAAAAGAGUGAAUAUAGCAUUACCCGAUGAUGCCUAUUAUGCUCCUACCAGUUCAACCUGCGGCUGAUGAAGAAAGUAGAGAUGGUUUUAUGAGGGUUUGGGGGAUAAACUUUUAUACUCCUCCUAGAAGGGUAAAAGCUGAGAAGGGAGGAAUCACCUAUCAGCAAUGACACGCGGUGGAUAGAUGGAUGGAAUGGGCAGUUUGCUGUAGAGAUGAGGAGGAGGCAUGCGUCAAUUUAUGAGACGUCAGAAACUGCAUGCACAAUCACACCUUGCCAGUUGCGCCCAAAUGAAACCAAUCCUACAAUAAAAUAACACCCCAUAGAAUACAUAGCAAUCUAAACACAACCUUGUGAGAGUGAAAUUUCGCUGUGCCGCAGGAGGACCAUUUUACGCAUCUCAAGGUGGCUGCAGAGAGUCACUGCGCCAAAUUAUAGAAACCCCAUUAAUCUGGUAAAAAUAUAUAAAAUCUAGAGACACUUUUUGUUAUAUGGUUUAGCUAGAUGUCGUAAGCCUGCCUUUGACUAAGGGUGCAUUUGACUCGAGUCGAGUUUAAAUAAUGCACUACUUGAAAAAGACUUAAGAUAAAAUAAAUGUGCUCAAGUUCAUUGAGAUUUUAGAAGUCGAGUUUGAGUUCGAACUCAAUUUAGUUUAUCUUAAUUGAACUCGAACUCGAUCUUGAGUUUAAUAAAAUCUAAUCGAAUCAAAUUAAGUUCAAUUAAGCCUAUUCGAGUUUAAUCGAUUCCAUUCAGUUAAUCAAAUUCACGUAAUAAAAAUUAAUAUUUUACAUAUAAUUUUGAAUAAAAGAUAUUAUUGACAUUUUACAAUAAUAAAUAAAAAAAAAUAUUAUAAAAAGAUUAAUUAGAUUUGUUAAGCCUUCGAAUACAAAAUAUUAGAACUCAAACUCGACUCAUGAGUUCAAACGACUAACUCGAACUUGAGCUCAAGCUCUGUCAAAACGAGCUCAAGUCGACGACCUAUUGACCGAGUAGUUCGUGAGUUCGAGUUGAGCUACUUGAUUUAGCACUUGAUUUAGCAUCCCCUUGCGGCUUUUGCGUAAAUUGUAAAGUUUUUUUUUUUUUUUUAAUCUCGGGAUAAAAGCACUCAGCAAAUCCUAUGAAAGUAGCAACAUACUGUUUAGGAGUGUGAUUCUUUCCAUUGAGAAAGGCAAUUAUUCUUGCACUACGUUCAAAUUCUAAGCCUGAUGGGACCAAACUGCUGCAUGGCAAACAAUUUGCUCCAAGCUCUACGAUUGAUUAUUCAAGAUGAGAUUUUGUUUGAGCUAUUUUGAGUUCAAAUUUCCAUGGUCUGUAGGACUAGAUAAGUUGCAGGGCCCUUGUCAUUGAAAGCCAAUUUGAUUUUCUUUUUAGAAGCCAAUUUUUUAUGGGUAUUAGAGCAGAGUAGGAUAUUUGAUCUCAAUCACUGGAGUUUUACCUUUCAUCAUCCCUGUAUUUUUUCUUUCGUCAUAAUACACAUUUCUUUUACUGAAAUAAGUUCAACAGCUAUUAUUUACACUAGAAAAGGGUAAGCAAUUGCUUUGGGUUGUCCAAAUCCAUUCAAUGAACAUCAUCGUUGUGCCUUACGAAGUAUGAAAUAUCCAGAAGAAUACAGACUAAACGACUUUGGACUGUAAAUAUUAGCUUACCAACUGAAAAGAUGAGAGAUCUCAAUCGGCCAACUGGGAAAUUAGAUAUGAUUCUGCUUAUACCAUAUUAGCUUUCCCUUAUUCUAGCACUAAUACUCCCACUCAAGUUCUUGGUAAUCAAGAACCAAUAUUGUUUUUAAAGAAAUAAACAACAACAACAACGUAAUUAUAGUACUGUUAUCAAAUGGCGAGGUAAACAAUGGCUAUUAUGACGCAAUCUAAUCGCCAUAAGCAGCAAUGUUGUCCAUUAUCUCAGCAACAGUCUCUUUAGACUCCCUCAGCAACCUGAUGCUUCCAUUCAAUCUGUCACGUUUAUCAGCCAACAGAUGGAGAUUCCUCCAACAUCCGCUCCAAUCCACCCCCGUGAGGUCCCAUUAACUCAUUCACCAUUUCGGUUUCCAAGUCUUUGUUCACCAGAUUUUGGCUGCUGAAGAGUAAAUGCAAAGCCAUGCUAUCAUCAACAACUCCUCAGGACAAUCUUCCAAUAAGCAGUCAUCCUCAUUUCAGAUCAAAAGCUUGUUGUGCAACGACCAGAUGAUUUCUCAGAUGCCCGACUUCAACCACACCAAUUCCAUCAAUCUCUAGAGUGGUUGAUUUCUUACGAUCAUUCAUAAUGAUCAUGAACAUGUCCUGGCUUUUCAUCAAAUCAUGCCAGGUUGCAGCGUACUCAGGAUUGCAAGUAUAAUCAGUGAGUUUUUCCAUUUCGAUAAUCUGCAAUACCCAAUCAACUGACUGCUCCCUUUCUUGGAAACAAGACUUUGGGCAGCUCUUCUGAUUGAAGGUUGAAGUUGUGGGUAGUUUUCAGAGUGCGUCAUCAAGACAGGAACUAACACCCUUGUAAGUACUCCCAAAACUUGUUCACAAACUCAUCUGGUGUAGCAGAAACGGCCCUGACCUUUUUUGCAGUGAGAUGAGAAAAACACUACGAGGAAGGAAAUUAGGUAAGUUUAUACCUUUAGCUUCCUCCAGGAUGCUAAUCUCUUCCACCAAGAAGGUCUGCUUUUGUUCACUUUGGAUAGAGAUGGACUGCAAAUUCUCAGAGUAAGCGCUCAGCAUCUCUGCCAGUCUAGCAGUACAAUGCAUUUCCUUUUCAUCUGGAUACUCAUCGAAUUCCCUCUGAUAAAUAUUUUCCUCAGGGACUCUUUGGCAGAAGAUAUGAUACGCAUAAAAGCAGUGACUGCUUCAGGAACCGAUUUCAACUGUAGUGGCAACUUGUUCAGCUCUGCAACACUUGCAGUUAGCUUGUCAUUGAUCUUUCUCACAAUAUCUGGCAAGCAUUUUGAAAUUAUGGUUGCCUGAAUUUGCACCAGUUUCUGGGCUAAAACAGGAAUGCCAACGAUAGACUUGUGGAUCUUGGACAGCAACGGAUGUGUUUCAAAAAGCAUAGCUUCUACAGCUCGAGCUUCCUCGUAUGAUUCAUCGCCAAUUCGAUUUCUCACACAGACGUAUCAAGUCCAAUAUUCACAUCAUCAGCCGUUACCUUCUCGAGCAAGCCUUCAGGGGAUUUGUCGGCCUUUGUGACAACUGCCAGAGUUCUUUCGCCUGUUUUGUCGACUUUUUGGGACAUCCGAAUUGAUUCACAAGUCGAAAAAUCAACAGUAGCUGAUAAAACAUUGAGUAUUAUGCUUUCUUCUGGCUUGAUAUACUCCAUGAUAAUUGCCGAUAUUUGCUCGUAGAUGUCUUCCGGCUGCCCAUGAACUGGAACUCUAGUAAUCCCAGGUAAAUCUACCAUAGUAAGAUCAGGGACACCAUUUUUUUUAACAGUCAAAGUCAAGGGAACAUUUGAUAUUCCCUUACUUUUGCCAGCAAUCUCAUCAGUUGCAACCCUGAUGGCCUCAGCAAUAUGGACCUCAUCGGUUGGAACAAUUGUUCCGUUGAACUCCAAGCUCAGCUCUGGCACGGGACUGGGAUGACUUUGCAGCCUCAUAAUCAAGGAACCCUUGUGCAUAUCCCUUGUCCCCUAGGCAGGCUAAUUCCAGCCAAGGACUCUAGAACGCUGGACUUACCUGAAGAUUGAUCUCCAACAACAACAAUUGUUGGAAGCUGGAUUCCUUCUUGCAUGACUUUAAGGUUUCGUAGCCUGUCUACGCAGUCCAGUAAUGGCCUAAUGCGUUCAUUAUAGGAUGAUACGAUGGGGGCUUGGAUUGCUAGUGGAUCUAUAUGAUCAUGAGCAGCUUCAAUGAGGGCUUUGGUGAUUUCUUCAGAAACAAAAUCGGAGUCAUUGAUUACUGCACCCAUGUUUCUUGUGGCCGUUGGUAUUCAGAGUUUCUACUAUAAUGUCGCAGGUAAGGAUAUCGGGAACUCGGGAGGGAGAAAGGUGAUGAUAGAGCAAGAGAUUUUCAGGUUUGGUGACAGCAAAUGUGGAUUUGUGGAUGAAUUUAUAGGUGAUUUCUGAUCUGAUGUUGAUCUCAGCACUCUCUCUUUUCUCGCAUACUUCUUUUUCUUUUCCUUUUGGUACUGCUUUUGUUGGGACAACAGCAUAGUUGCACGAAAUUUACUUGCCCUGCACUAAUGCUAGAAAUUGGAUAUGAACAAACACAAACAUUUCAUUCUGCUUUUCCUCUGAAAACUAAUCGUGUUCUAUGCUGUAAUUAUUUUGCAAAGUUUGCAAAACGAUUGAUAAAAUUUUUAGAGUACUAAUGGCAACACGCUGUAUAAUUGUGUAAAUUGGUUUUUAUUCGGCAACUGUACAUUAAACAAAUUCUUGUCUUUAAUUUCUAGGGCUAAAUGCAAACAAGAGGAUGCAUAGAAUCAUAUACAAUCUUGCAUAGAACAAUAAUUGCAUGCAUAUAUUAUAGGUAAGCCUUUAGAUUUGUUCCACUCAAAUAUUUUAUAUGUGAUCCUUCUAGUUACUUAAUUAGAGGGCAUAGAUUCUUGUGCUAUCUUUUGAAGUGGUUCGAUUACAAAAUGCAAAUGGCUAGCUCAUGGUCCUUGAUUUACAAAGUGGAAUCUGACGCUUGACUUCCUUUUCUCCUGUCCCUUGUCAUCAGAAAAGCAAAUCCAUCGCUCAAGAAGGAAAAUUAGCUAGAACCCUUCAAUGAUCGUCAAUUAAUUAGUGUUUAAAGAUGUAAUUACUAGUUAUUACAUCAGAAUCAUAUUAUCCGAAGACUUCCAAGGUAAAAUUGCUUAUUUUACUUCAAGUUUAGGUCAUCCUCGUGCUUCACCAUUACGCAAGGGAUCCUCUGCAUCAUGGGAUCAUCCACUAAUGAAGUGUACUGUUGUUUGUUUUGGUGGAAACACAGAAGUGGGAUCAAUUUGUCUGAUCCAUCUCCUUCUUUCAGAACAGAAGCAGGAUCAAUAGCUUAAGAAUUAAGAAAACCCACGACGAAGGAAAGAUUUCGAUCGUACAUAGGUUGGUAAACAUGGCUGGCACGAAAAAGCGAUACAGUAUAUAAAAUUUGACUUCAAAAGCUUGCCCCGCUCUUUCGCCCCACCAUCCAAGGUAGCUAUAACACCUUUUAGGGGGGAAAUUAAUGACAGAAGGAAAAGAUGAAAGGAAAAUUGAACUUCCAAAUGCAACUAUUGUUAAGGGUUAGAGGCACUAAGCACCCUAACUUUGGAGAUAUUUUCACAUUUUUCUUUAACGUUAUUUUUGUUGUAUGUGCCCCUUCUAUUAAGUCACGUCAACUUUUAUCAUUAUUAAAAGGAAAAAGGUCAAAAGUUUCAAUCUUGCCCUUAUCUCCAUUUCCCUUCAUUUUUCUUUUACUUGUCUAAGUUUCUCAUUUCA
This 6529-nucleotide long non-coding RNA is filed under the name Coffea arabica (coffee). RNAcentral's name for it is "long non-coding RNA (CARA_LNC006461)". Lineage: Eukaryota; Viridiplantae; Streptophyta; Magnoliopsida; Gentianales; Rubiaceae. The record is from RNAcentral.